CUUCUCAACAUUGUUGUACUCAUUGUUACCAUUGUAAUAGUUGUUGUUGUUCUGGUUUUCCUUAGUACUCCAUCCUUUCUCAGUGAACAUGGCCUCAUUGUUACCGUUGUAAUAGUUGUUGCGAUUCUGGUUUUCCUUAGUACUCCACCCUUUCUCAGUGAACAAGGCCUCAUUGUUACCAUUGUAAUAGUUGUUGCUAUUCUGGUUUUCCUUGGUACUCCACCCUUUCUCAGUGAACAAGGCCUCAUUGUUACCAUUGUAAUAGUUGACAUUGUAGUUGUUGGUUUCUUUGGUGGCCCAUCCUUUCUCAUUGAACUUGGCUUCACUUUGCUGCUCAGCGUUCCCGUAGGCAUUUGUCUUGCUAUAAAAGUAAGAGUCUUUGUUGUUGG
This 389-nucleotide long non-coding RNA is filed under the name Gossypium barbadense (sea-island cotton). Its description in RNAcentral is "long non-coding RNA (GBAR_LNC008708)". The record is from RNAcentral. Lineage: Eukaryota; Viridiplantae; Streptophyta; Magnoliopsida; Malvales; Malvaceae.